GAGUUUGAUCCUGGCUCAGGAUGAACGCUAGCGGCAGGCCUAAUACAUGCAAGUCGAGGGGCAGCGCGGGUAGCAAUACCUGGCGGCGACCGGCGCACGGGUGCGUAACACGUAUACAAUCUGCCUUUAACAGGGGGAUAGCCCGGAGAAAUCCGGAUUAAUACCCCAUAAUAUAUUGAGUGGCAUCACUUGAUAUUGAAAGCUCCGGCGGUUAGAGAUGAGUAUGCGCCUGAUUAGUUAGUUGGUGAGGUAACGGCUCACCAAGACUUCGAUCAGUAGGGGAUCUGAGAGGACUACCCCCCACACGGAUACUGAGACACGGAUCCGACUCCUACGGGAGGCAGCAGUAAGGAAUAUUGGACAAUGCCCGCAAGGGUGAUCCAGCCAUGCCGCGUGCAGGAGACGGCCCUAUGGGUUGUAAACUGCUUUUACACCGGAGAAAACCCCUUCUCGUGAGGAGGCUGAUAGUAUGGUGAGAAUAAGCAUCGGCUAAC
This 494-nucleotide ribosomal RNA is filed under the name uncultured Flavobacterium sp. RNAcentral's name for it is "bacterial SSU rRNA". It matches the Rfam family "Bacterial small subunit ribosomal RNA", at positions 9 to 501 of the family's 1533-position model. Lineage: Bacteria; Pseudomonadati; Bacteroidota; Flavobacteriia; Flavobacteriales; Flavobacteriaceae. The record is from RNAcentral.